UAAGGAAUAUUGGACAAUGGAGGCAACUCUGAUCCAGCCAUGCCGCGUGAAGGAAUAAGGCCCUAUGGGUUGUAAACUUCUUUUAGACGGGACAAAACCCCUUUACGUGUAAAGGGUUGAUGGUACUGUCAGAAUAAGCAUCGGCUAACUUCGUGCCAGCAGCCGCGGUAAUACGAAGGAUGCAAGCGUUAUCCGGAAUUAUUGGGUUUAAAGGGUGCGUAGGCGGACUAAUAAGUCAGUGGUGAAAGCCUGCAGCUUAACUGCAGAAUUGCCAUUGAUACUGUUAGUCUUGAGUACAGUUGGGGUAGGCGGAAUGUGUCAUGUAGCGGUGAAAUGCUUAGAUAUGACACAGAACACCGAUUGCGAAGGCAGCUUGCUAAGCUGUAACUGACGCUGAGGCACGAAAGCGUGGGGAGCAAACA
This 422-nucleotide ribosomal RNA is filed under the name uncultured bacterium. RNAcentral describes it as "bacterial SSU rRNA". It matches the Rfam family "Bacterial small subunit ribosomal RNA", at positions 355 to 774 of the family's 1533-position model. The record is from RNAcentral.